AACGCCAAGCAAGGGCCCCAAAUCAUAAGUAAGUGGGAAAACGAUGUGGGAAGGCAUAGACAGCUAGGAGGUUGGCUUAGAAGCAGCCACCCUUUAAAGAAAGCGUAAUAGCUCACUAGUCGAGUCGGCCUGCGCGGAAGAUGUAACGGGGCUAAAACUAUGUGCCGAAGCUGCGGAUGUAUACUUUGUAUACGUGGUAGGGGAGCGUUCUGUAAGCCGAUGAAGGUGUGUUGAGAAGCAUGCUGGAGGUAUCAGAAGUGCGAAUGCUGACGUGAGUAACGACAAAACGGGUGAAAAACCCGUUCGCCGAAAGACCAAGGGUUCCAGUCCAACGUUAAUCGGGGCUGGGUGAGUCGACCCCUAAGGCGAGGCCGAAAGGCGUAGUCGAUGGGAAAAUGGUUAAUAUUCCAUUACUUCUGUGUAAUGCGAUGAGAGGACGGAGAAGGCUAAAUCAGCCUGGCGUUGGUUGUCCAGGUGAAAGGAUGUAGGCAUGUAUCUUAGGCAAAUCCGGGGUACUCUAUGCUGAGAUCUGAUAGCAAGCUGUACUUGUACAGCGAAGUGGUUGAUGCCAUGCUUCCAGGAAAAGUCUCUAAGCUUCAGUUACACAGGAAUCGUACCCGAAACCGACACAGGUGGUCAGGUCGAGUAGACCAAGGCGCUUGAGAGAACUCUGCUGAAGGAACUAGGCAAAAUGGUACCGUAACUUCGGGAGAAGGUACGCUGUUGUUGGUGAUGGAACUCGCUUCCUGAGCUGACGACAGCCGCAGAAACCAGGCCGCUGCAACUGUUUAUUAAAAACAUAGCACUCUGCAAACACGAAAGUGGACGUAUAGGGUGUGAUGCCUGCCCGGUGCUGGAAGGUUAAUUGAUGGGGUUAGCGUAAGCGAAGCUCUUGAUCGAAGCCCCAGUAAACGGCGGCCGUAACUAUAACGGUCCUAAGGUAGCGAAAUUCCUUGUCGGGUAAGUUCCGACCUGCACGAAUGGCAUAAUGAUGGCGGCGCUGUCUCCAGCAGAGGCUCAGUGAAAUCGAAAUCGCUGUGAAGAUGCAGUGUACCCGCGGCUAGACGGAAAGACCCCGUGAACCUUUACUGCAGCUUGACACUGAACUUUGACCUUACUUGUGUAGGAUAGGUGGGAGGCUUUGAAGCUGGAACGCUAGUUCCAGUGGAGCCGUCCUUGAAAUACCACCCUGGUAAUGUUGAGGUUCUAACUCUGUCCCGUGAUCCGGGACGAGGACCGUGUCUGGUGGGUAGUUUGACUGGGGCGGUCUCCUCCUAAAGAGUAACGGAGGAGUACGAAGGUGCGCUCAGCGUGGUCGGAAAUCACGCGUAGAGUAUAAAGGCAAAAGCGCGCUUAACUGCGAGACCCACAAGUCGAGCAGGUACGAAAGUAGGUCUUAGUGAUCCGGUGGUUCUGUAUGGAAGGGCCAUCGCUCAACGGAUAAAAGGUACUCUGGGGAUAACAGGCUGAUACCGCCCAAGAGUUCAUAUCGACGGCGGUGUUUGGCACCUCGAUGUCGGCUCAUCUCAUCCUGGGGCUGAAGCAGGUCCCAAGGGUAUGGCUGUUCGCCAUUUAAAGAGGUACGCGAGCUGGGUUUAGAACGUCGUGAGACAGUUCGGUCCCUAUCUACCGUGGGCGCUGGAAAUUUGAGAGGAUCUGCUCCUAGUACGAGAGGACCAGAGUGGACGAACCUCUGGUGUACCGGUUGUGACGCCAGUCGCAUCGCCGGGUAGCUAUGUUCGGAAGGGAUAACCGCUGAAAGCAUCUAAGCGGGAAGCCUACCUCAAGAUAAGAUUUCCCUAGGACUUUAUGUCCUCUAAAGAGCCGUUCGAGACUAGGACGUUGAUAGGUUGGAUGUGGAAGCAUAGUGAUAUGUGAAGCUGACCAAUACUAAUUGCUCGUGAGGCUUGACUAU
RNAcentral lists this ribosomal RNA (1915 nucleotides) under Acinetobacter baumannii. Its description in RNAcentral is "bacterial LSU rRNA". It matches the Rfam family "Bacterial large subunit ribosomal RNA", at positions 1029 to 2925 of the family's 2925-position model. The record is from RNAcentral. Lineage: Bacteria; Pseudomonadati; Pseudomonadota; Gammaproteobacteria; Moraxellales; Moraxellaceae.